This 253-nucleotide ribosomal RNA is filed under the name uncultured bacterium. Its description in RNAcentral is "partial 16S ribosomal RNA". It matches the Rfam family "Bacterial small subunit ribosomal RNA", at positions 524 to 776 of the family's 1533-position model. The record is from RNAcentral.
UACGUAGGGGGCAAGCGUUAAUCGGAAUUAUUGGGCGUAAAGCGUGCGCAGGCGGUUAUGUAAGUCAGAUGUGAAAUCCCCGGGCUCAACCUGGGAACUGCAUUUGAGACUGCAUCGCUGGAGUUCGGCAGGGGAGACUGGAAUUCCUGGUGUAGCGGUGAAAUGCGCAGAUAUCAGGAGGAACACCGGUGGCGAAGGCGGGUCUCUGGGACGAUACUGACGCUGAGACGCGAAAGCGUGGGGAGCAAACAGG